GAUGAACGCUGGCGGCGUGCCUAAUACAUGCAAGUCGAGCGAACAGACGAGGAGCUUGCUCCUCUGACGUUAGCGGCGGACGGGUGAGUAACACGUGGAUAACCUACCUAUAAGACUGGGAUAACUUCGGGAAACCGGAGCUAAUACCGGAUAAUAUAUUGAACCGCAUGGUUCAAUAGUGAAAGACGGUUUUGCUGUCACUUAUAGAUGGAUCCGCGCCGCAUUAGCUAGUUGGUAAGGUAACGGCUUACCAAGGCAACGAUGCGUAGCCGACCUGAGAGGGGGAGGGGCAACACGGGAACAGAGACACGGUCCAGACUCCUAGGGGAGGAAGCAGUAGGGAAUCUUCCGAAUGGGGCGAAAGCUGGACGGAGCAGCGCCGCGUGAGUGAUAAAGGUCUUCGGAUCGAAAAACUCUUUUAUUAGGGAAAAAAAAAUGUGUAAGUAACUAUGCACGUCUUGACGGUACCUAAUCAGAAAGCCACGGCUAACUCCGUG
This 497-nucleotide ribosomal RNA is filed under the name uncultured bacterium. RNAcentral describes it as "partial 16S ribosomal RNA". It matches the Rfam family "Bacterial small subunit ribosomal RNA", at positions 28 to 507 of the family's 1533-position model. The record is from RNAcentral.